GUUCGAUCCUGGCUCAGAUUGAACGCUGGCGGGAUGCUUUACACAUGCAAGUCGAACGGCGGCACGGACUUCGGUCUGGUGGCGAGUAGCGAACGGGUGGUAAUGUCAGGAACGUGCACCCUGAGCUGGCGGGGAUAACUGCGCGAAAGCGGCAGCUAAUACCACAUACGCCCUUCGGGGAAAGCGGGGACCUUCGGACUCGCGCUAUGCGGCAGCCGAUAUCAGUUAGCUAGUUGGUGGGAAAUGCUGGCUCACCAGGGCGACGAUCCGUAGCUGGUUUGAAGGAACGACCAGCCACACUGGGACUGAGACACGGCCCAGACUCCUACAGGAGGCAGCAGUGAAAAUUUGGACAAUGGGGAAACCCUGAUCAGCCAUCCCGCGUGUGCGAUGAAGGCCUUCGGGUUGUAAAGCACUUUUGGCGGGAAAGAAACGGCACGGGAUAAUGCCCGUGCAACUGACCGGUACCUGCAGAAUGGCACCGGCUAACUACGUGCCAGCAGCCGCGGUAAUACGUAGGGUGCAAGCGUUAAUCAGGUUACUGGGCGUAAAGCGUGCGCAGGCGGUUCGGAAAGAAAGAUGUGAAAUCCCAGAGCUUAACUUUGGAACUGCAUUUUAGCUACCGGCUAGAGUGUGUCAGAGGGUGGAAUUCCGCGUGUAGCGGUGAAAUGCGUAGAUAUAGGAGGAACACCGAUGAAGCGAAGGCCAACCUCCUGGGAUAACACUGACGCUCACGUACACGAAAGCGUGGGGAGCAAACAGGAUUAGAUACCCUGGUAGUCCACGCCCUAAACGAUGUCAACUAGCUGUGGGACAUGGGCCUUGGUAGCUACAAGCUAACCGCGUGAGAUUGACCGCCUGGGGAGUACGGUCGCAAGAUUAAAACUCAAAAUUGACGGGGACCCGCACAAGCGGUGGAUGAUGUGGAUUAAUUCGAUGCAACGCGAAAAACCUUACCUACCCUUGACAUGUCUGGAAUCCCGAAGAGAUUUGAGGAGUGCUCGCAAGAGAACCGGAACACAGGUGCUGCAUGGCUGUCGUCAGCUCGUGUCGUGAGAUGUUGGGUUAAGUCCGCAACGAAGGCGCAGCCCUUACGUAAUAGUAGUUGCUACGAAAGGGCACUCUAUGAGACUGCCGGUGACAAAGCGGAGGAAGGUGGGGAUGACGUCAAGUCCUCGCGGCCUGUCGGUGCAGACUACACGUCAUACAAUGGUCGGGACAGAGGUCGCCAACCCGCGAAGGCCGUCCCAGAAACCCGAUCGUAGUCCGGAUCGCAGUCUGCAACUCGACUGCGUGAGUCAGGAAUCGCUUCAUCAAUCGCUUGGAUCAGCAUGUCUCUGUAGUACGUUCCGGGUCUUGUACACACCGCCCGUCACACCAUGGGAAUUAGGUUUUGCAAGAAGUAGUCAACCUAACCGCAAGAGGCGAUUACCACAGUAGGAUUCAUGACGCGGGGUGAAGUCGUAACAAAGGUAA
RNAcentral lists this ribosomal RNA (1476 nucleotides) under uncultured Bordetella sp. RNAcentral's name for it is "partial 16S-23S ribosomal RNA intergenic spacer". It matches the Rfam family "Bacterial small subunit ribosomal RNA". The record is from RNAcentral. Lineage: Bacteria; Pseudomonadati; Pseudomonadota; Betaproteobacteria; Burkholderiales; Alcaligenaceae.